AUACGGAGGAUCCGAGCGUUAUCCGGAUUUAUUGGGUUUAAAGGGAGCGUAGGUGGAUUGUUAAGUCAGUUGUGAAAGUUUGCGGCUCAACCGUAAAAUUGCAGUUGAAACUGGCAGUCUUGAGUACAGUAGAGGUGGGGGGAAUUCGUGGUGUAGGGGUGAAAUGCUUAGAUAUCACGAAGAACUCCGAUUGCGAAGGCAGCUCACUAGACUGUUACUGACACUGAUGCUCGAAAGUGUGGGUAUCAAACAGGAUUAGAUACCCUGGUAGUCCACACAGUAAACGAUGAAUACUCGCUGUUUGCGAUAUACAGUAAGCGGCCAAGCGAAAGCAUUAAGUAUUCCACCUGGGGAGUACGCCGGCAACGGUGAAACUCAAAUGAAUUGACGGGG
This 393-nucleotide ribosomal RNA is filed under the name uncultured bacterium. RNAcentral's name for it is "partial 16S ribosomal RNA". It matches the Rfam family "Bacterial small subunit ribosomal RNA", at positions 523 to 918 of the family's 1533-position model. The record is from RNAcentral.